ACAAAUACAUUGAACUGUGGGCCAGGACAGAGACGGAGGGACGGCGGUCGUGGACGUCAGGAACUCGAGCCGUGGCUCAGCUCGUCGGGCUCCUUCCUGAUCCGUGGAUCAGGAUACUUGCUUUUCGUCAACUCUGGCGACGGCGGAGUAAAUGCGAGAUUGGGGGCGUGUGGGGGGAGGAGGGGUGGUACUCGUCUCCUACCUCGAUCCACAGUGCUUGAGGUUCCGAUGGUGCCUUUCCAUUACACAGUGAGCGAUUUUAUUGCCGGAAUGGAGCAGCAUCAGCCAUUUGCCGAUUCGUGUGCGGGCCUGCGGGGCGGAGGUGGGAGAUCAUAGGGAGGGUUCACCACAUGCUUCCGAACAAUCGGUAGGCGAGAUGGACCCACUCCAGGAUGGAGCCGCAGGUAUGUUCGUACUCAUCGCUGGAGUUGAAAAUUAAUGUUGCAAAUCUGAAAAAACUAUGUUCGUAUGUGUGUGCUUGUCAUUAAUAGACUAGAGAACAGGUGGGAUAUCAGAUGAGUCAUGAGUGUGAGGUUUUACGGAUCUAGUGCUUCGUACAUUAUUGAAUGAUUCAUUCAGCACCUCGUUUUUGCAACACAGACAUUCUCUCUUUCAGCCUGAUUACACCAUAAAUUGUGAACUGUAAGAAAGAAUGUCUCUCACGCAAAAUUGAUGGUGGAAUCUGAAGAAUCUGAGCUUGUAUGUGUGUGGCUGCUUGAAAGUACAAGACUAUAGUAGAGGGAUUCACCAGAUGAUUGUGAACUGAAUGCUUUGUUUGGCACCUCACAUAUUGUUACACUAUGAAUUUUGAACUGUAGGAAAGAAUUUCUCUGUUGCAAAAUCCAUGUGUCCAAAUCUGAAGAUUCAGUAUUUAUAUGUGUGCGAUUGCUUGUAAUUUUGACACUAUGGUCACUAUGUGUGUGGUUGCUUGUAAUUUUGACACUACGGUACUGGGUGAUUGAUCAGACGUUUUACAGAUUGACUGCUUGUCUAGAGUUGAAUGAUUCGAUUAGUAGCUCCCAUUGGUUAAAAAAAUAUAGAAGAUUAGAGCCCUCAUUUUGAUAGUUCAUGGAAAAUUUGGUUACAGCAGAAAAUGUGACAUGUAAGAUAGAAUCUCGCUGUUAAGAACUUAAGAUUCAUGUUGCACUGCAAUCUGUUUUGGAUUACAGUUAGUAAGCCCUAUGGAAGUUGUAAACAUUAAUGAACUUUUAUAAAGCACCUAUCCAUAAGGGAAUGGGAGAGAUUAAUUCCAGCAGUGUCACUGAAGGUGUGUUUGUUGUGGGUACCAGAAUGAGACAUGGUUCCUGUAUUUGCAAAGAAAAUGUUUCAUGUGCAUGGGAUUCCAUUUCAGAUCUAAAAUCACGAAGGAAAAUAGGGUUGCAUUACUCGAAUGCCAAGGGAAACAAUAACAUAUAGAUUAGAUAAAUUAGUUGAUCAAAGACAGAAUGUUACAUUAGUUGUACUGUGUCGGUGCCGGAUGCAAGCUGAGUAUUCCCAAAGGUAUGAUCGAUGAAGAAGAACCGGCGAGUGAGUAGACAAGUGAGUGCGGAAUGCAAAUGGAGAAGGUGGAGACGAUUAGGGAAGGGUACUUGUUAGAAGGAAGGCAAGGCAGGAAUGACAGACAUAUAUGUUGCCGCAUGUAUUGCAUCUGCUGAAUAGGUAGGAGCUCCUUACUCGGUGCAUGGGUAUGUCGACCAUUCAAAACAUGCCUCAUGAGGUCUUGUCCUCCCUGGUCCGUGGACCAAGAAACAUGCUUUCCAUUCAUUGCAACCUAAACUGAGUAAUUUGCUGGUAUGGUGCCUGGUGGAGUUGUCUUCUUCCUCGGGUGCCUGGAUCUUUCCAUUGGCGAGAGUGGUGACCUUGGCAGCGGACCUCCUGUGCGAGGGAGCUGGAGUUCUUGAUACAGCCGAUUAAGAGAACAGAACACUGGUGUUGAAGCCUGGAGAGGUUAAUGACAGCAAAAUUCCAAUGGAGUCGCUGCACUACCCGGUCGUCGAGCACCUGGCGCCUAUGAGGGGGUUUAGUGCAGACGGAUAGAUCUGUGCGGCGGAGGGGGCGGCAGAUGCUCAAAUUAAAGAUUUACCUCAAGUAUCUGUGCAAUUUAUUGGCCAGAUCGACCCUAAAGCUCCUGGAUGGACGUACAGUGGGCUGCAUUGUAAACCCAGGAUGAUGUGUGCAUUGCCUGGUGUGUUACUAAUGAUCUGGUUUAAUUUCUGCAGCAUGGGAAGCUGAAGCAUACCACCAAAAUCAAUUUCUGUAACCAGCCACUUCUUGAAUUGGUCCAACUCAGCUGAAUAACUUUGACAACAUGCUUAAUGGAGAUCCAGGGGCAGUGACUCCUUCAUUGUUGAUCGGUACACCAUUAUCAGAAAAUGAUGGAUGUGGGUUGCGAUCGAUAACUGGGUCAGCAAAUCCAUCGCCAUCUCAACCCCGAGAGUCCAACAUGAUCACUGUGAAUCAUAACAAAAAGGAGAUCUCAGACUAAAUGUCUCUGAGCAUCGCUCCGACAGUGAUUAGGAAUCAGUAUAAGUAAAAUUAGUUUGUUGUCUAAAGCCACGUAUUGUGCCAUUUGCUGGGUCACCUGCGGCAGUUUCAAAAUCUCUAGUAUAAUUACUGAAUGGUGUACUUCAAAAUUAGUUCUGACAUAUGCAUAUGCAUUGCCAAAA
This is a long non-coding RNA of Triticum aestivum (bread wheat), 2666 nucleotides long. RefSeq lists it as uncharacterized. The transcript has 5 exons. NCBI's taxonomy places the organism in Eukaryota, Viridiplantae, Streptophyta, Magnoliopsida, Poales, Poaceae. The record is from RefSeq and is a predicted model, not a curated record.